CACCGGCGGCUCGAGUGGUAACCGCUAUUAUUGGGUCUAAAGGGUCUGUAGCCGGCCGACUAAGUCUCUUGGGAAAUCUGGCAUCUCAAGUGUCAGGCUGCCAGGGGAUACUGGUCGGCUUGGGACCGGGAGAGGUGAGAGGUACCUCAGGGGUAGGGGUGAAAUCUUGUGAUCCCUGAGGGACCACCAGUGGCGAAGGCGUCUCACUAGAACGGGUCCGACGGUCAGGGACGAAAGCUGGGGGCACGAACCGG
RNAcentral lists this ribosomal RNA (254 nucleotides) under uncultured microorganism. RNAcentral describes it as "partial 16S ribosomal RNA". It matches the Rfam family "Archaeal small subunit ribosomal RNA", at positions 474 to 727 of the family's 1478-position model. The record is from RNAcentral.